Non-coding RNA from Cinara cedri, 217 nucleotides. The record is from the annotation of a GenBank genome assembly. NCBI's taxonomy places the organism in Eukaryota, Metazoa, Arthropoda, Insecta, Hemiptera, Aphididae.
UUUGUAUUUUAUCGCUUACAAACAAUAUAGUCGAUAACGCGGUCAACAAAUUUACUAUAAACUCAAUAAUGUAUUGGGUUGUCACAUUCAGUUUACUCAAAAAUUAUUCGUAAAUUAUUAAAAAAUCGAUGAAUCGUUAAACCUAAGUACGUGCAUUUCAUUUCCAUGAUUAAAUUUAUAACAAUUUCGUUGGUAUAUACUGGUAUACGAAGACGAA